Molecule: ribosomal RNA, 253 nt
Filed under: uncultured bacterium
Lineage: Bacteria
Description: partial 16S ribosomal RNA
Rfam family: Bacterial small subunit ribosomal RNA
Source: RNAcentral
UACGUAGGGUGCGAGCGUUAAUCGGAAUUACUGGGCGUAAAGCGUGCGCAGGCGGUUUUGUAAGCCGGAUGUGAAAUCCCCGGGCUUAACCUGGGAAUGGCAUUCGGGACUGCAAGGCUGGAGUGCGGCAGAGGAGACUGGAAUUCCCGGUGUAGCGGUGGAAUGCGUAGAGAUCGGGAAGAACAUCAGUGGCGAAGGCGGCCUGCUGGGCUGUUGCUGACGCUGAGGCGCGACAGCGUGGGGAGCAAACAGG